AUAUGCCUAAGUUCAUAAUGAAAACCAAAAGACAGACGCACAAACGCAUUAUGUAAGGACUAGACAGGAAACAAAGAAAUUUUAUUAUAAUAAAUAACAAAAUAAAAUUUGAUUGGCAUAUUAAAUAAAAAACAUAGUUGUGCAAAUUCGUGCACUUAGUCUCAUGGUCAAACACCUUCAAAUUUUCAACUGUAGUAAUCCAUCAAUUUAUAACUCAUUUUAAUUUGUAUAAAAUUUAAAAUGAUUUAAAUACGAUAAUGUGUUGAUAUAAUCGAUCUGAAUUUUAAUUAAAAUAUUAAAUUAACGAAAAGAUUAAUAGAAUAAUCCAUUAAAUGCAAAU
Molecule: unclassified non-coding RNA, 340 nt
Filed under: Hevea brasiliensis (rubber tree)
Lineage: Eukaryota; Viridiplantae; Streptophyta; Magnoliopsida; Malpighiales; Euphorbiaceae
Source: RNAcentral